GAUGAAGAACGUAGCGAAAUGCGAUACGUAAUGUGAAUUGCAGAAUUCAGUGAAUCAUCGAAUCUUUGAACGCAUAUUGCGCUCUCUGGUAUUCCGGAGAGCAUGCUUGUUUGAGUAUCAGUAAACACCUCAACUUCCAUAUCUUUUUUGAAAUGGGAGUUGGACUUGAGUGAUCCCAACGCUUUUCCUCACCGAAAAGUGGCGGGUUACUUGAAAUGCAGGUGCAGCUGGACUUUUCUCUGAGCUAUAAGCAUAUCUAUUUAGUCUGCCUAAAAAACAGAUUAUUACCUUUGCUGCAGCUAACAUAAAGGAGAUUAGUUCUUGUGCUGACUGAUGCAGGAUUCACAAAGACGGCUUCGGCCGACUUUGUAAACUCGAUCUCAAAUCAAGUAAGACUACCCGCUGAACUUAAGCAUAUCAAUAAGCGGAGG
Molecule: unclassified non-coding RNA, 431 nt
Filed under: soil metagenome
Description: partial contains 5.8S ribosomal RNA, internal transcribed spacer 2, and large subunit ribosomal RNA
Rfam family: 5.8S ribosomal RNA (bases 1-120)
Source: RNAcentral